CUUGUUGAUGUAGCUUAAUGGUA
RNAcentral lists this non-coding RNA (23 nucleotides) under Rattus norvegicus (Norway rat). The record is from RNAcentral. Lineage: Eukaryota; Metazoa; Chordata; Mammalia; Rodentia; Muridae.